UACAGAGGUCCCAAGCGUUGUUCGGAUUCACUGGGCGUAAAGGGCGCGUAGGCGGCGCCACAAGUCACCUGUGAAAACUCUGGGCUCAACCCAGAGCCUGCAGGCGAAACUGUGGUGCUGGAGUAUGGGAGAGGUGCGUGGAAUUCCCGGUGUAGCGGUGAAAUGCGUAGAGAUCAGGAGGAACACCGGUGGCGAAGGCGGCCUACUGGGCCAGCACUGACGCUGAGGAGCGAAAGCGUGGGGAGCAAACAGG
Molecule: ribosomal RNA, 253 nt
Filed under: uncultured bacterium
Lineage: Bacteria
Description: partial 16S ribosomal RNA
Rfam family: Bacterial small subunit ribosomal RNA
Source: RNAcentral